CCUUCCGUAGGGGAACCUGCGGAAGGAUCAUUACCGAGUUGAUUCGAGCUCCGGCUCGACUCUCCCACCCAAUGUGUACCUACCUCUGUUGCUUUGGCGGGCCGCGGUCCUCCGCACCGGCGCCCUUCGGGGGGCUGGCCAGCGCCCGCCAGAGGACCAUAAAACUCCAGUCAGUGAACUUCGCAGUCUGAAAAACAAGUUAAUAAACUAAAACUUUCAACAACGGAUCUCUUGGUUCUGGCAUCGAUGAAGAACGCAGCGAAAUGCGAUAAGUAAUGUGAAUUGCAGAAUUCAGUGAAUCAUCGAAUCUUUGAACGCACAUUGCGCCCCUUGGUAUUCCGAGGGGCAUGCCUGUUCGAGCGUCAUUUCAACCCUCAAGCUCUGCUUGGUAUUGGGCUCCGUCCUCCACGGACGCGCCUUAAAGACCUCGGCGGUGGCGUCUUGCCUCAAGCGUAGUAGAAAACACCUCGCUUUGGAGCGCACGGCGUCGCCCGCCGGACGAACCUUUGAAUUACUUCUCAAGGUUGACCUCGGAUCAGGUAGGGAUACCCGCUGAACUUAAGCAUAUCAAUA
Molecule: ribosomal RNA, 573 nt
Filed under: Neofusicoccum parvum
Lineage: Eukaryota; Fungi; Ascomycota; Dothideomycetes; Botryosphaeriales; Botryosphaeriaceae
Description: eukaryotic LSU rRNA
Rfam family: 5.8S ribosomal RNA (bases 212-365)
Source: RNAcentral